AGCUAUAGCUCUGGGGUUUUUGUAGAUUUUCAAAUAAAACUCAGAGAUUCCUUUUAUGAUUCUCUCAGGUCUCUCUUUUGUGGUAUUUUUGGAUCCUUACCAAGGUAGUGAUGGUAUAUGCCUUCUCUCAAGAUAUGUGGUACUUGUGGUAUGAGGCAUAGUGACAUUGCCUUUUCUCUCACCCUACUCUAAUAAGGCUUUAAUAUCUAGAGCUCAUAGGUGGGAGAUAAAGUAUACAUACUUACAAGACAUUUAUUGCAUAGUCAAACCAUGGAUCCAAAGUAACAAGUCAAUAAGUUUAAUCAAGAUGUGCAUGUGUGGCGAAUGAAUGGUGUAUGGUGAUGAUGGUGAUAACAAUGAUGAAAACAAUGGUGGUGGAAGUCUAAUUCUACUUUUGCUCUUUGAGGAGAUACAUACCUUCCUUGCUUUUGAAACUUUAUGAGGAGAAUGAGAUGCUCUUCUUUUUCUUGUCUCUCAGGUGGGUAUCUUGCACCCCUAAUUCUACUAUCGGACACUUGUCCAUUUUUACCUCUCGUCUCACUUUUUCUUUUCUUUCGAGGUUCCGAGCACUUGCUCCUUUUUAUUUCCUCAUAUUAUUCCUUUUUUUUAGAGCAUUCAUCUCUUGAGAUAAUAUAGCAAGUGGUAGUAACAAGAUAUCUUGAGCAUUUAUUUUACAAGGGGAAAACAGAAAUAUUUUUGGUUAUUCUCUCCCGGAUUAGGAGUAGAAUAUUUUUAGGUGGUUCUGGAGAUGGAAUGGGUAGAUAUAUGUGGAUGGUACUUCCGGAGUAGAAGUAGCAUAUAUGAGUGAACGUGCAAGUGAAAUCUUGAUUUAAUCACAUGACAAGCUUCUAAGGGUCUACACAGCUU
RNAcentral lists this long non-coding RNA (867 nucleotides) under Sorghum bicolor (sorghum). RNAcentral's name for it is "long non-coding RNA (SBIC_LNC008515)". Lineage: Eukaryota; Viridiplantae; Streptophyta; Magnoliopsida; Poales; Poaceae. The record is from RNAcentral.